This 354-nucleotide ribosomal RNA is filed under the name Terebra sp. MNHN IM 2013-16052. RNAcentral describes it as "partial 12S ribosomal RNA". Lineage: Eukaryota; Metazoa; Mollusca; Gastropoda; Neogastropoda; Terebridae. The record is from RNAcentral.
UUACCGGAGUACUAUGAAUAUUAAAAAUUUAAAACUCAAAGAACUUGGCGGUGUUUUAGACUACUCAGGGGAACCUGUCUCAUAAUCGAUAAUCCACGUUGUACCUGACCUUUUUUUGUAUUCAGUUUGUAUACCGUUGUCGUCAGGUAACUUUUUAGAAAUUAGAAGUUAGCAGCAGAAAUAAAAAAUAAUUUAAUACGUCAAAUCAAGGUGCAGCUAAUGAAAAGGGGAGGAUGGGUUACAAUUAUAUAAUUUAUAAUAACGGAUAGGUAUAUGGAGUAUGUAUUAAUUAUAAGGCGGACUUGAAAGUAAAUUAGGUUAUAUAAAUAACUUGAAUGAGGCUCUGAAACGUGU